RNAcentral lists this ribosomal RNA (372 nucleotides) under uncultured bacterium. RNAcentral's name for it is "bacterial SSU rRNA". It matches the Rfam family "Bacterial small subunit ribosomal RNA", at positions 59 to 449 of the family's 1533-position model. The record is from RNAcentral.
AAGUCGAACGCAGCAGCUUCGGCUGGCUGCGUGGCGAACGGCUGAGGAACACGUGGGUGACCUGCCCCAGAGUGGGGGAUACCCCGUCGAAAGACGGGAUAAUCCCGCAUACGCUCUACGGAGGAAAGCCCCUACGGGCGCUCUGGGAGGGGCCUGCGGCCCAUCAGGUUGUUGGUGUGGUAACGGCGCACCAAGCCACUGACGGGUACCCGGUCUGAGAGGACGGCCGGGCAGACUGGGACUGCGACACGGCCCAGACUCCUACGGGAGGCAGCAGCAAGGAAUUUUCCCCAAUGGGCGCAAGCCUGAGGGAGCAACGCCGCGUGGAGGACGACGGCCUUCGGGUUGUAAACUCCUUUCGGGUGGGACGAC